Molecule: ribosomal RNA, 496 nt
Filed under: uncultured bacterium
Lineage: Bacteria
Description: partial 16S ribosomal RNA
Rfam family: Bacterial small subunit ribosomal RNA
Source: RNAcentral
GAUGAACGCUGGCGGCGUGCCUAAUACAUGCAAGUCGAGCGAACAGACGAGGAGCUUGCUCCUCUGACGUUAGCGGCGGACGGGUGAGUAACACGUGGAUAACCUACCUAUAAGACUGGGAUAACUUCGGGAAACCGGAGCUAAUACCGGAUAAUAUGUUGAACCGCAUGGUUCAAUAGUGAAAGACGGUUUUGCUGUCACUUAUAGAUGGAUCCGCGCCGCAUUAGCUAGUUGGUAAGGUAACGGCUUACCAAGGCAACGAUGCGUAGCCGACCUGAGAGGGUGAUCGGCCACACUGGAACUGAGACACGGUCCAGACCCCUACGGGAGGCAGCAGUAGGGAAUCUUCCGCAAUGGGCGAAAGCCUGACGGAGCAACGCCGCGUGGGUGAUGAAGGUCUUCGGAUCGUAAAACUCUGUUAUUAGGGAAGAACAAAUGUGUAAGUAACUAUGCACGUCUGGACGGUACCUAAUCAGAAAGCCACGGCUAACUACGU